CUGUGCUACUGGAAGGGGUGGAACCUGGCUGCACCUCUCCUAGACCCCAUUUAAGAGCUGACUGCCAGUAGGGAAGGAUCUCUUCUGGAGGUCAUUCCUUGUAGAGUUUACUGUGAGCCUACAACAUUGCAGAACACAUGGUUUUGCUUAGCACUGGCUGAGGAAUUACAAGCCGUAUGUCUUGAAUAUGUAUCUGCCAAGGGGAGCCAAUUAAGCUGCUGGCUGUGGGGCUGAGCUGCUGCCUCUCCGUGAACCUGGUGGAAAGCUGAGAGAGAUUUUUCCUAAAGCUGAGCAAACUGGGCUUCUGGAAAGGCAGCUGGAGCCAUGAGCAGGCAGGGUGACUGGAAGGCGGAUGGAAACGUGCAAGAGAGCAGAAACACAAAUGUUUGGGCAGAGCUGGAAAACGCUUCCCACAGCCGACCACGCAGCUGCAGCUCAUGCCAAAUGCUGUUUGCUUUCUGGGUGAUGGAUUUGUCAUAAGGGCUAAGUUGCUGGGAUUGCUCAAAGUGAGCACGGCCACGGCUGGUGCAGAGCUGGGCGCUGGGGGAGCAGCGUUACGCUCAAUGUUGGUGUGAUCUCAGGACACCGCCGCCAUCCCUGCGCUGGCACUGGGGAGGGUUGUGCCCAAUGAUGGGGAUGUGCCCUUGGUCCCCCAUCUCAGUGAUGGCAUUGCAGGGUUGCUCCAUGUGAGGGCGGUCGGAGCUGUGCUGGAGCCCUGUUCAGUGGGACAAUGGGCAGCUCUGGGUGCAGCACUCGAGGUC
Lagopus muta (rock ptarmigan) is the source of this 761-nucleotide long non-coding RNA. RefSeq lists it as uncharacterized. The record is from RefSeq and is a predicted model, not a curated record. The transcript is spliced from 4 exons. NCBI's taxonomy places the organism in Eukaryota, Metazoa, Chordata, Aves, Galliformes, Phasianidae.